AUCGCUUCUCGGCCUUUUGGCUAAGAUCAAGUGUAGUAUCUGUUCUUAUCAGUUUAAUAUCUGAUACGUCCCCUACCCGGGGACCAUAUAUUAAAUUGAUUUUUGGAACUGGGAGAUGGAAAAGGGGUCCACGCAUCGACCUGGUAUUGCAGUACCUCCAGGAACGGUGCACCCCCU
RNAcentral lists this small nuclear RNA (177 nucleotides) under Gadus morhua (Atlantic cod). RNAcentral describes it as "U2 spliceosomal RNA (ENSGMOG00000022044.2)". It matches the Rfam family "U2 spliceosomal RNA". From Rfam's summary of the family: U2 is a small nuclear RNA (snRNA) component of the spliceosome (involved in pre-mRNA splicing). Complementary binding between U2 snRNA (in an area lying towards the 5' end but 3' to hairpin I) and the branchpoint sequence (BPS) of the intron results the bulging out of an unpaired adenosine, on the BPS, which initiates a nucleophilic attack at the intronic 5' splice site, thus starting the first of two transesterification reactions that mediate splicing. The record is from Rfam by way of RNAcentral. Lineage: Eukaryota; Metazoa; Chordata; Actinopteri; Gadiformes; Gadidae.